RNAcentral lists this ribosomal RNA (377 nucleotides) under uncultured bacterium. RNAcentral describes it as "bacterial SSU rRNA". It matches the Rfam family "Bacterial small subunit ribosomal RNA", at positions 524 to 898 of the family's 1533-position model. The record is from RNAcentral.
UACGAAGGGGGCAAGCGUUAUUCGGAUUUAUUGGGCGUAAAGGGCGCGUAGGUGGCUGGGCAAGUCCGGUGUGAAAACGCUACCGCUCAACGGAGCGAUUGCGCUGGAAACUGCUCAACUUGAGUGCAGGAGAGGUGAACAGAAUGCCUGGUGUAGCGGUGGAAUGCUUAGAGAUCAGGCAGAAUACCUGAGGCGAAGGCGGUUCACUGGCCUGUUACUGACACUGAUGCGCGAAAGCGUGGGGAUCAAACGGGAUUAGAUACCCCGGUAGUCCACGCUGUAAACGGUGAGUACCAGCCGUCGGGGGUACCCAUUCCCUCGGUGGCGGCGUUAACACUUUAAGUACUCCGCCUGGGAAGUACGGCCGCAAGGUUGAA